AAAUGAAUAGACGGGGACCCGCACAAGCAGUGGAGUAUGUGGUUUAAUUCGAUGCAACGCGAAGAACCUUACCCAGGCUUGACAUACACAGGACGAUGCUAGAAAUAGUAUUUCCCUUCGGGGUCUGUGAACAGGUGCUGCAUGGCUGUCGUCAGCUCGUGCCGUGAGGUGUUGGGUUAAGUCCCGCAACGAGCGCAACCCUUGUCAUUAGUUGCCAGCACGUAAUGGUGGGAACUCUAAUGAGACUGCCUAGGUUAACUAGGAGGAAGGUGAGGAUGACGUCAAGUCAGCAUGGCCCUUAUGCCUGGGGCUACACACGUACUACAAUGGCCGGUACAGAAGGCAGCGAAACCGUAAGGCGGAGCAAAUCCCCAAAGCCGGCCCCAGUUCAGAUUGUAGUCUGCAACUCGACUACAUGAAGUCGGAAUUGCUAGUAAUGGCGCGUCAGCACCAGCGCCGUGAAUACGUUCCCGGGUCUUGUACACACCGCCCGU
Molecule: ribosomal RNA, 494 nt
Filed under: uncultured bacterium
Lineage: Bacteria
Description: bacterial SSU rRNA
Rfam family: Bacterial small subunit ribosomal RNA
Source: RNAcentral